UCGUACUUAUCACACUUAUAUAUACCUUAAUUUUCUUGGGAAUUAUUUAAAUUUGUGGAAGUUACAAGUAGUUUUAACCACCACGAUGAAAGCGUUUGCGUUGUUUAUUAUUAUCUUUGCGAUAACUCUAACAUCCAACUCACAAGCACCGCCAGGUGUAAAUUAUCGCUGUUUUGGACUACCAUGCCCUCCUACUACAGUCUUCUGUCAGAGACUUCAAUACACUUCGCUCAAUAACACACUUAUGGGAACAGCACUUGACUGUCUUGAUAAUGAUCUAACAAUACUCAACUCUUCCGCUAACAUUCAACCGAAUCCUUUUGGUGACUGGAGCUAUCAGGCCCUUACUAGGACUCUCGUCCAAACCUCCUAAUACCUAUCACUAUUUACUAUCAGGAACUUGUUGAACGACUAAAUCAAGUACAAGCUCCUAAUUAUGGUGAAAUACGUAGUGUUUCUAUUAUAAUCAAUAAAAUGGUGAUGUAUUGA
Molecule: long non-coding RNA, 489 nt
Organism: Tribolium castaneum (red flour beetle)
Lineage: Eukaryota; Metazoa; Arthropoda; Insecta; Coleoptera; Tenebrionidae
Exons: 3
Source: RefSeq, a predicted model, not a curated record